This 255-nucleotide ribosomal RNA is filed under the name Triticum aestivum (bread wheat). RNAcentral's name for it is "partial small subunit ribosomal RNA". Lineage: Eukaryota; Viridiplantae; Streptophyta; Magnoliopsida; Poales; Poaceae. The record is from RNAcentral.
AUGAAGCAGCGAGGGCAGGCGGCGAGCACCAUGGACGUCGCCUCGGGGCUGUUGGACCACUGCAGGCCGUGCUCGUUCUCCGACGACAGGCAUGAGCUCGGGGACGACUCCUCGUCAGCCAUCACCCUGUUGGAGGAGUCCCCUCUUGCAGGCAGCGAGAGGUUCAGCUUCAGGUCAAGGCCCUUUGAUGAGCUCUUCCUGUUGCUGCGGCUCAUCCUCAGAGGUAUCCCCUGCCUGCACACAUCAAAACGUUGA